GGAAUUACUGGGCGUAAAGCGUACGCAGGCGGUUUGUUAAGCGAGAUGUGAAAGCCCCGGGCUCAACUUGGGAACUGCAUUUCGAACUGGCAAACUAGAGUGUGAUAGAGGGUGGUAGAAUUUCAGGUGUAGCGGUGAAAUGCGUAGAGAUUUGAAGGAAUACCGAUGGCGAAGGCAGCCACCUGGGUCAACACUGACGCUCAUGUACGAAAGCGUGGGGAGCAAACAGGAUUAGAUACCC
This 241-nucleotide ribosomal RNA is filed under the name Pseudoalteromonas sp. RNAcentral describes it as "partial 16S ribosomal RNA". It matches the Rfam family "Bacterial small subunit ribosomal RNA", at positions 547 to 787 of the family's 1533-position model. The record is from RNAcentral. Lineage: Bacteria; Pseudomonadati; Pseudomonadota; Gammaproteobacteria; Alteromonadales; Pseudoalteromonadaceae.